This 137-nucleotide ribosomal RNA is filed under the name uncultured eukaryote. RNAcentral describes it as "partial 18S ribosomal RNA". It matches the Rfam family "Eukaryotic small subunit ribosomal RNA", at positions 1299 to 1458 of the family's 1831-position model. The record is from RNAcentral.
CGGUGAGGUGACUUGUCUGGUUAAUUCCGAUAACGGACGAGACCUUGACCUACUAACUAGCAAGAAGUCAGUUUUGAUUUCCGUGCUUCUUAGAGGGACUUUGGAAGUUUAUUCCAAGGAAGUUCGAGCCUAUAACA